Molecule: ribosomal RNA, 443 nt
Filed under: uncultured bacterium
Lineage: Bacteria
Description: SSU rRNA
Rfam family: Bacterial small subunit ribosomal RNA
Source: RNAcentral
AGAACGAACGCUGGCGGCAGGCCUAACACAUGCAAGUCGAACGCCCCGCAAGGGGAGUGGCAGACGGGUGAGUAACACGUGGGAACCUUCCUAUUAGUAUGGAAUAGACCAGGGAAACUUGGAUUAAUACCGUAUACGCCCUAAGGGGGAAAGAUUUAUCGCUAAUAGAUGGGCCCGCGUAAGAUUAGCUAGUUGGUGAGGUAAUGGCUCACCAAGGCUACGAUCUUUAGCUGGUUUGAGAGAAUGAUCAGCCACACUGGAACUGAGACACGGUCCAGACUCCUACGGGGGGCAGCAGUGGGGAAUAUUGGACAAUGGGCGCAAGCCUGAUCCAGCCAUGCCGCGUGAAUGAUGAAGGCCUUGGGUUGUAAAGUUCUUUUAGUAGAGAAAAUAUGAUGGUAUCUACAGAAAAAGCCCCGGACUAACUUCGUGCCAGCAGCCGC